AUUGAACGCUGGCGGCAUGCCUUACACAUGCAAGUCGAACGGCAACACGCACCAGCUUGCUGGUGUGGUGGCGAGUGGCGAACGGGUGAGUAAUGCGUAGGAAUAUGCCUUAAAGGGUGGGACAACUUGGGGAAACUCAAGCUAAUACCGCAUGAGCUCUUAGGAGGAAAGCUGGGGACCGCGAGGCCUGGCGCUUUAAGAAUAGCCUACGUCCGAUUAGCUAGUUGGUAGGGUAAGGGCCUACCAAGGCGACGAUCGGUAGCUGGUCUGAGAGGAUGGGCAGCCACACUGGAGCUGAGACACGGUCCAGACUCCUACGGGAGGCAGGAGUGGGGAAUAUUGGACAAUGGGGGGAACCCUGAUCCAGCAAUGCCGCGUGUGUGAAGAAGGCCUGAGGGUUGUAAAGCACUUUCGGUGGGGAGGAGGUUAUAUAGGUUAAGAGCUGAUAUAAUGGACGUUACCCACAGAAGAAGCACCGGCUAACUCCGUGCCAGCAGCCGCAGUAA
RNAcentral lists this ribosomal RNA (506 nucleotides) under uncultured bacterium. Its description in RNAcentral is "partial 16S ribosomal RNA". It matches the Rfam family "Bacterial small subunit ribosomal RNA", at positions 29 to 523 of the family's 1533-position model. The record is from RNAcentral.